GCUAGCAUGGUGUAGUGGUUUGAGUGCUGGACUUCAAUCCCUGAGAUCAGGGUUUGAUUCCCUGCUCAAGCA
This is a non-coding RNA of Phrynosoma platyrhinos (Desert horned lizard), 72 nucleotides long. Lineage: Eukaryota; Metazoa; Chordata; Lepidosauria; Squamata; Phrynosomatidae. The record is from the annotation of a GenBank genome assembly.